This 406-nucleotide ribosomal RNA is filed under the name uncultured bacterium. Its description in RNAcentral is "partial 16S ribosomal RNA". It matches the Rfam family "Bacterial small subunit ribosomal RNA", at positions 30 to 526 of the family's 1533-position model. The record is from RNAcentral.
AUUGAACGCUGGCGGCAGGCUUAACACAUGCAAGUCGAGCGAGCGGCGGACGGGUGAGUAAUGUAUGGGAAACUGCCCGAUGGGGGGGGAUAACUACUGGAAACGGUAGCUAAUACCGCAUACCAUCAGAGGUGCCCAUAUGGGAUGAGCUAGUAGGUGGGGUAAAGGCUCACCUAGGCGACGCUCCCUAGCUGGUUUGAGAGGGUGACCAGCCACACUGUGACUGAGACAGGGACCAGACUCCUACGGGAGGCAGAAGUGGGGAAUAUUGGACAAUGGGGGCAAGCCUGAUGCAGCCAUGCCGCGUGUGUGAAGAAGGCCUUCGGGUUGUAAAGUACUUUCGGCGAGGAGGCGUUACUCGCAGAAGAAGCACCGGCUAACUCCGUGCCAGCAGCCGCGGUAAUAC